UAGGGAAUCUUCCGCAAUGGACGCAAGUCUGACGGAGCAACGCCGCGUGAGUGAAGAAGGAUUUCGGUUCGUAAAACUCUGUUGUUAGAGAAGAACAGCGCAUAGAGUAACUGUUAUGCGUGUGACGGUAUCUAACCAGAAAGCCACGGCUAACUACGUGCCAGCAGCCGCGGUAAUACGUUGGUGGCAAGCGUUGUCCGGAUUUAUUGGGCGUAAAGCGAGCGCAGGCGAUUAAUUAAGUCUGAUGUGAAAGCCCCCGGCUCAACCGGGGAGGGUCAUUGGAAACUGGUUGACUUGAGUGCAGAAGAGGAGAGUGGAAUUCCAUGUGUAGCGGUGAAAUGCGUAGAUAUAUGGAGAAACACCAGUGGCGAAGGCGACUCGCUGGUCUGUAACUGACGCUGAGGCUCGAAAGCGUGGGUAGCAAACAGG
RNAcentral lists this ribosomal RNA (429 nucleotides) under Bacteroidota bacterium. RNAcentral's name for it is "Bacteroidetes bacterium partial 16S ribosomal RNA". It matches the Rfam family "Bacterial small subunit ribosomal RNA", at positions 355 to 776 of the family's 1533-position model. The record is from RNAcentral. Lineage: Bacteria; Pseudomonadati; Bacteroidota.